Molecule: long non-coding RNA, 2261 nt
Organism: Cervus elaphus (red deer)
Lineage: Eukaryota; Metazoa; Chordata; Mammalia; Artiodactyla; Cervidae
Exons: 5
Source: RefSeq, a predicted model, not a curated record
GGAGGCGGGGGCGGGGCGGCGCGGCCGGCCGAGGGGCGGCCAGGGACGUGACAUCAUCGGGGGAGGAGCGGCCGGGCCCGGGCCGCCGCGGCGGGGCGGACCCUGGCGAGUCGGGAGCCGGCGCUGGGGUCUGCGGCCUGGCCGAGGCCGCGGGAAGGGACUGGAGGGACCAGCGUGGACCCGGGAGGCCCAGGCAAGGAGCACACGGGCCUGCGCGGCGGGGGAGCCCGGCCGAAGCCGGAGGAGCGAGCGGCCCCGCGUUCAGAAUCCGCCGCCGCCUCCAGGAACUGGGGAACACAGAGUGAUCUGCCACUGGGGAGGCUUUAUAGGCUCCUGCUCAGUUUCACUCACCAGAAACUGAAUUGACUAGUGCCUUGAUCCUGAACUUCCUAGCCUCCAGCACGGGUUGAUGUGCCACUGCCUCCUUCCUCAUGAGUCUCCAGCAUCAGUCCAGAGAGAACCCAAGCCCAGGACCAUUUUGCCCCCACUUCACAUUGCAUCCCUUGGUGACUUCACCUUUGCCUGCAUUCAUCCACAGAACAGGCUCUGAUCCCAGAAGCGAUGUCCAGAGCUGCUGCAACCAUAUGGAAGGGAGGUGUUGAAGAUGGUGGAGAAGUAAGAUGUGGAGAUCCUCUUCCUCCCCAGUAAAUACAUGAAAAAUGCAGCUGCAUGUGGAACACCUACUGAAUGCUGCCAGAAGGCUUCAGACUUCCAAAAAGGCAAGCUAAUCUCUAUAGCUAAUCUUGAAUAAAGUGGUAGGGAAACAGCAAUAAGAAAAAAAAGUAGACACAAGGAAAAUGGGAGGAAUCCUGCACCUCAGGGAGAGAGUUGUGAAGGAGGCAAAGUUCCUCUGACCCCCCUUCACAGGAGCUUUGGAACCUUAGAGGGGAAUGCAACAGGUGCUCCGAAGGCAAAUGGGAGAGAAUUCAGCACAGAGAUUGUUGCUGACCAGCACUUCCCAGCUGAGAAGCAGUUUGCAUGCCCACUGCAGUGAGUGGGGGCUGGGUGCUGAGGCUCAGGCUUCAGGAAUCGGACCCUAGGAUGAAGACUGGAGUUGCCUGCCAUGAAGUUACUCUGAGGGGACUAGUACAACAUGCAGAAAGAGCCCAGGGAAAAACCUGGGCCUGCCAGAGAGGCAAGAGAUCAUCACCACUGGCACCAUCUAACUCCAAGUGCUCACAGAUCGCAGGACCAUGCCUUUGUGAGUGUCAUAAGGUGGGAUGAGCUGGCUGUGGUCUGUGACCCCAGAGGUGGGCAUGCCUACUGCUAUCAAGGAUGGCACGAGUGUCAAAAGAGGUGGGGGGUGGCACGAGGAUUUGGCCAUCACAGGCUGUGAUGGCUGUCACAGUGGCUGCCAAGCUGUGAGCGGGCGCAGGUCACUGUCCACAACUUCCUGGAAGACUAUGUAGCUUGGUUCUUCCAAGAGACCCAGGGUCAGUUCGUCUGGGAGAGCACACGACACACCUCUGACUCUAGCAACUUCCAGCAGGUCUCUAUUGCCACGGGCACUCCCUCAUUGUGUCUGCCCUACCCCUCACACUCCCUAGUCCGACUGAGUAAGUGAGCCCUAAUAAGCCUUGGCCUUAUUAGGCCCCACGCAGAGGUGGGGCCAAAACCAAAGUGGAACACCAGGGGAUGUGUGAUCAAAGAAGAGGAAGGGAAUUCACUGCUGCAGCAGCAGAUGCAGGAGAUUAAAUCCCGGCAACUGGUUUAAGACUGUGAGCUUUGGGGGCAACUGUGGACUUUGGAAGCAAGUACAAGUUGGAGUAAGGCCAGAUCUCAGUUGGAGCUGAUCCUACAUCACCAACAACAGGUCCAGAGACCUUCUGAGAACCUUUCAGUCUGUGGAAAGGAGACCCCAAACCCAGUAAAUUAAACAAAAUGAGGAGACAGAGAAACACGCAGCAGAUGAAGGAGCAUGGUAAAAACCACCAGACCAAAAAAAGAAAGAGGAAGUAGGCCAUCUACUUGAAAAUGAAUUCAGAGUAAUGGUAGUAAAAAUGAUCCAAAACCUUGGAGAUAAAAUGGAGGCACAGAUAAAUAGAAUGGAGGAAAGGAUUGAGAAGAUACAAGAAAUAAUUUAUAAGGACCUAGAAGAACUAAAGAACAAGCAAUCAACAAUGAACAACAUAAUAAGUAAAAUUUAAAAUACACUAGAAGGAACCAAUAGCAGAAUAACUGGGUGAGCUGGAAAAUAGAGUGGUGGAAAUAACAGAAGCAGAACAGAAUAAAGAAAAAAGAAUGAAAAGUAAUGAGGACAG